ACACAGGUGGUCGGGUAGAGAAUACCAAGGCGCUUGAGAGAACUCGGGUGAAGGAACUAGGCAAAAUGGUACCGUAACUUCGGGAGAAGGUACGCUCUUGAUGGUGAAGUCCCUUGCGGAUGGAGCUGACGAGAGUCGCAGAUACCAGGUGGCUGCAACUGUUUAUUAAAAACACAGCACUGUGCAAAAUCGUAAGAUGACGUAUACGGUGUGACGCCUGCCCGGUGCCGGAAGGUUAAUUGAUGGGGUUAGACUUC
Molecule: ribosomal RNA, 257 nt
Filed under: Vibrio parahaemolyticus
Lineage: Bacteria; Pseudomonadati; Pseudomonadota; Gammaproteobacteria; Vibrionales; Vibrionaceae
Description: partial 23S ribosomal RNA
Rfam family: Bacterial large subunit ribosomal RNA
Source: RNAcentral